Molecule: ribosomal RNA, 253 nt
Filed under: uncultured bacterium
Lineage: Bacteria
Description: partial 16S ribosomal RNA
Rfam family: Bacterial small subunit ribosomal RNA
Source: RNAcentral
UACAGAGGGGGCAAGCGUUAUUCGGAAUUAUUGGGCGUAAAGGGCGCGUAGGCGGCUAUUCAAGUGGCGGGUGAAAUCCCCCGGCUUAACCGAGGAACUGCCUGGCAGACUGGAUGGCUUGAGACCGGGAGAGGUGAGUGGAAUUCCCAGUGUAGCGGUGAAAUGCGUAGAUAUUGGGAGGAACACCAGUGGCGAAGGCGGCUCACUGGACCGGUACUGACGCUGAGGCGCGAAAGCGUGGGGAGCAAACAGG